Molecule: ribosomal RNA, 554 nt
Filed under: uncultured bacterium
Lineage: Bacteria
Description: bacterial SSU rRNA
Rfam family: Bacterial small subunit ribosomal RNA
Source: RNAcentral
UGGGGAAUAUUGCACAAUGGGCGCAAGCCUGAUGCAGCCAUGCCGCGUGUGUGAAGAAGGCCUUCGGGUUGUAAAGCACUUUCAGUCGUGAGGAAGGUAGUGUAGUUAAUAGCUGCAUUAUUUGACGUUAGCGACAGAAGAAGCACCGGCUAACUCCGUGCCAGCAGCCGCGGUAAUACGGAGGGUGCGAGCGUUAAUCGGAAUUACUGGGCGUAAAGCGCAUGCAGGUGGUUUGUUAAGUCAGAUGUGAAAGCCCGGGGCUCAACCUCGGAAUAGCAUUUGAAACUGGCAGACUAGAGUACUGUAGAGGGGGGUAGAAGUUUCAGGUGUAGCGGUGAAAUGCGUAGAGAUCUGAAGGAAUACCGGUGGCGAAGGCGGCCCCCUGGACAGAUACUGACACUCAGAUGCGAAAAGCGUGGGGAGCAAAACAGGAUUAGAUACCCUGGUAGUCCACGCCGUAAACGAUGUCUACUUGGAGGUUGUGGCCUUGAGCCGUGGCUUUCGGAGCUAACGCGUUAAGUAGACCGCCUGGGAGUACGGUCGCAAGAUUAAAA